This is a non-coding RNA of Potamilus streckersoni, 72 nucleotides long. The record is from the annotation of a GenBank genome assembly. Lineage: Eukaryota; Metazoa; Mollusca; Bivalvia; Unionida; Unionidae.
GAAUUACUUUCCUGUGGUAGAGGGUUGGACUUGUAAUCCAAAAACAUGGGUUUGAUACCCAUCCAAGCACCG